UAAAUCGUAAAGCAUAUGAAAGUAUGUGACACAAAGCUAUAGGGUCUAAGGCUUAAUUAUAAGCUAUGACAGCCAGUUACCA
This 82-nucleotide non-coding RNA is filed under the name Vallitalea guaymasensis. RNAcentral describes it as "Cyclic di-GMP-I riboswitch". It matches the Rfam family "c-di-GMP-I riboswitch aptamer", at positions 12 to 85 of the family's 87-position model. From Rfam's summary of the family: GEMM was predicted in a large-scale screen for bacterial structured RNA regulatory elements. Genes associated with GEMM are involved in a diverse array of functions, including chemotaxis regulation, signal transduction, secretion and chitin. The record is from RNAcentral. Lineage: Bacteria; Bacillati; Bacillota; Clostridia; Lachnospirales; Vallitaleaceae.